UAGUCUGUUCAGGGCCAAUAAUUAACCCUA
This 30-nucleotide non-coding RNA is filed under the name Macaca fascicularis (crab-eating macaque). RNAcentral also lists the same sequence under 1 other name. Lineage: Eukaryota; Metazoa; Chordata; Mammalia; Primates; Cercopithecidae. The record is from RNAcentral.